Molecule: long non-coding RNA, 1029 nt
Filed under: Canis lupus dingo (dingo)
Lineage: Eukaryota; Metazoa; Chordata; Mammalia; Carnivora; Canidae
Description: lncRNA (ENSCAFG00020016857.1)
Source: RNAcentral
CUCGGGGCGGCAGCAGGGCCCGCUGAGGACGGAGGAGGUGCCGUGGGUGCCCGUGCGUGCGCCAAGCUUCAUCCAGUCCCGGAACCCCGGGCGGAGGUUCUGCAAUGUGUACGGAGAACUUAUUUUUAUUUUAUUUCAUUUUUAGAUUUUAUUUUUUUUAUUUAUUCAUGAGAGACACAGAGACAGAGGCGGAGAUACAGGCAGAGGGAGAAGCAGGCUCCCUGCGGGGACCCUGUGUCCAGAGAAGCGAAGUGACCUACCCAGGGUCUCACAGGCAGCGGGGCCGGCUGCUUCUGGGGCCGCUGGGGCGACACCUCAUGAACUUGUGCAGGCUGGAUGGGUGGAAGCGUUUGUGGUGUCAACGAGCUAGGGGCUGGGCGUGGAAGGCACAGGUUUCCUGGAUUCCCAGAGGCGGGACCAGGGUGCUCUCCAGGGGUCAGAGCAGGAAUGGCUUGGAGUCACCUGUGAACCUCGACGGGGACAAGACUGGCUGGCACCCGAGUCCCUGGCCCCCCGACAUCCAACAGCCUUUGCACACAGGCUCCAGGGUUAAUUCCUUGACACUCCGCUUGCACUGCCCGCUUCUGCGGGCAGCCCAGCGCCAGCCUACUCCCGUCCAGUCCUCAAGGCCCUGGCUCAGAUGCCCCCUCCCCCAGGAAGCCCGUCUGCCCCCCCAGGCAGGGCCAGCCCCAGGGACCCAUUCUUGGCUCAGUGUCACGGGGCUGGCGUCUGCAUCCAGCCCUAUGGCCCCGUUUUCACGGCCUGCUGAGUGCUUCUCCACGCGUGUCCCUGCGUGCAGCAGGUGCUCAAUGAGCGUGUGAUAGAGGCGUAAAUAGAUGCACGGUCAGGCUGGAAUUGGCCUUAGGAACCAUCCCGGCCUGUGCCUGGUGCUCAUCAAAGUUCUGCGGGUUAGUUUGUGGGGUGGGGGGAGGAGGUCAGGUUUCCUUCGCUCUCGAAAACCAGGCCACACGCGGCAGCCUCAGGCCGUGCUCCACGGGUCACGCUGUGCGCAGCCGGCCUGGGUCUCCC